CAAUAGCGUAUAUUAAAGUUGUUGCAGUUAAAAAGCUCGUAGUUGAGUUUUUGCUUGCCGCCGAUGUCGGAACUUCCGUACGUUCGGCGGCGUGCAUCCUUGGGUGGAACAUGUGUGGCAUUAGGUUAUCGUGCAGGGGAUGCUCAUCGUUUACUGUGAAAAAAUUAGAGUGUUCAAAGCAGGCUUACGCCGUUGAAUAUAUUAGCAUGGAAUAAUAAGAUAGGACCUUGGUACUAUUUUGUUGGUUUGCGCACCGAGGUAAUGAUUAACAGGGACAGUUGGGGGUAUUCGUAUUCCAUUGUCAGAGGUGAAAUUCUUGGAUUUCUGGAAGACGAACUACUGCGAAAGCAUUUACCAAGGAUGUUUNCAUUA
RNAcentral lists this ribosomal RNA (372 nucleotides) under uncultured eukaryote. RNAcentral describes it as "partial 18S ribosomal RNA". It matches the Rfam family "Eukaryotic small subunit ribosomal RNA", at positions 592 to 975 of the family's 1831-position model. The record is from RNAcentral.